UACGUAGGUGGCAAGCGUUGUCCGGAAUUAUUGGGCGUAAAGCGCGCGCAGGCGGUCUUUUAAGUCUGAUGUGAAAGCCCCCGGCUUAACCGGGGAGGGUCAUUGGAAACUGGGAGACUUGAGUGCAGAAGAGGAGAGUGGAAUUCCACGUGUAGCGGUGAAAUGCGUAGAGAUGUGGAGGAACACCAGUGGCGAAGGCGACUCUCUGGUCUGUAACUGACGCUGAGGCGCGAAAGCGUGGGGAGCGAACAGG
This 253-nucleotide ribosomal RNA is filed under the name uncultured bacterium. Its description in RNAcentral is "partial 16S ribosomal RNA". It matches the Rfam family "Bacterial small subunit ribosomal RNA", at positions 524 to 776 of the family's 1533-position model. The record is from RNAcentral.